Molecule: ribosomal RNA, 450 nt
Filed under: uncultured bacterium
Lineage: Bacteria
Description: partial 16S ribosomal RNA
Rfam family: Bacterial small subunit ribosomal RNA
Source: RNAcentral
GUGGGGAAUCUUCCGCAAUGGGCGAAAGCCUGACGGAGCAACGCCGCGUGAGUGAUGACGGCCUUCGGGUUGUAAAGCUCUGUUAUAUGGGACGAACGGGCAUGGGGCGAAUACCCCCAUGCAGUGACGGUACCGUAAGAGAAAGCCACGGCUAACUACGUGCCAGCAGCCGCGGUAAUACGUAGGUGGCAAGCGUUGUCCGGAAUUAUUGGGCGUAAAGGGCGUGUAGGCGGCCAGACAAGUCUGUCUUAAAAGUGCGGGGCUCAACCCCGUGAUGGGAUGGAAACUGUCGGGCUAGAGUGUCGGAGAGGAAAGCGGAAUUCCUAGUGUAGCGGUGAAAUGCGUAGAUAUUAGGAGGAACACCAGUGGCGAAAGCGGCUUUCUGGACGACAACUGACGCUGAGGCGCGAAAGCCAGGGGAGCAAACGGGAUUAGAAACCCUUGUAGUCC